UUGAUUAUUCAUGCAGAGUAAGCAGUCUGGCUUUGCAGCAGCACCACUACCAGUGCUGAAUGUUUGGAUUAAUGCCAACAAGCUACAGAAUUAGCUCAUUGUUCCGUACACUCCAACUACGGGCACUGGGGUAGACAGUAAACCAGCUUUUUUGGGAGCUUUUCAAGCGCUGACUGUACUUCAUUUUUUGGAGUGCAGUAAUCAUUGCCUUUACGGAAAAAAAAAUGCUCCCUAUUUUGGGAGCUACAUUGCAGAUCUCUAUGUAGGGUAGAAGGUGGAGCGGGGCAGAGGGCUUUGUCUUUUGUUCCCCUUUAGGAACUGGGGAGACCUGCCUGCAGUCCCGCCUCUGCCAACAAAACAUGCAGUUAGGGUGCUCCCCUGAUAUCAUCCAGGCCUGGAGUAAAUUUUAGAAUUGCAUCAGUGAAGUUUGCUGCAGAAAACUGGCUGCUGUAGCUGUAUUCUGGAAUGAAUCCUUAUGGCCUGGCAAAGUUUUGAACUGGUGUUUCCCAUGUUACCUCAAGACUGCUGAAGACCAGUGCCAAGGAUGGAAGCCUUCCUUCAGGAAUGCUUCAUGUCUCCCACCAGGAAAAAAUACUGGCUUCAAGAAGGGGAACAAUAAGAGCAAAGCCUUGGACCUGGCUCCCUCAAUGGAGCCAGAUCCAUAUUUUGCCAAUAGACGAUGGAGUCACUGUAUAUUCGAUCAUUAUUCUUCCAUGUGUGUUGACCUGCUGUCUGAGUUUUGCUGAGUUGGCACAGUUUCAGAGUUUGUUUGUGUUUUUUAAAAUUUUUAGAUAAAACAAAUUGAGGGGACUCUGAACCUGGCUGAUUUGUACCAUGGAUAAUAUUACCACAAAACAACAAAUAUCAGUCUUACUUAACUGGAAACACUAAUAAACACACACUGUGAACAACAAUGUUUACAACCAAUACAGGUGGGCCUUCAGGCCUUUUCGUACCAUGCACCGCGCUGUCUUCCAUUACUCCAUUGGAAGUGUACAACCAAAGCAUUUCCUCUUUUACAUGUAAUGUUUUCAUUAGACUACAAAGGCUGAGAGUCCCUUGCAUUUUCUUUUAUUUUUAGUGUAUUCAGCUUGUUAGUUCAUAAUGUAUGUCUAAAAUCUUCAAUUGCCUAUGUAACCUCAUAUUUUAGCCAUGUAAAUUUUAUGUAUAGAAAUACUGUAAUAGUAUGUAAUGCAUUGUUUCCUUGUGGUAAGUGAUUGAGGUGCUGCCACGGGAUAUGAGACACUGAUGAAUGGUGCUAUUUUGGAUUUUAAAUAUGCUCCUUGGCAAGGUAGCUCUGAUGGAAUUUUGUUUUUAUUUUCCCUGAUCUGAGAGGGUAUUGAUGCUUUUCUGAUUGCUUUCAUUUUUUGGACAGGAUUGACUUGUUUCUGAAUGUGCGGUGGCUUUCAUAUUGGAUCUAUUAGGCUAGGAGCAGUACCUGUUGACUAAAGAGUUGACUUGCAGCAAACUAGGUGCAUGAAAGUGCCUGAGAGAAAAAGGGACAAUUGCAGCAUUGCAACCUUACCUUUUUAAAUUACUUUCUCCCUUUAGGUACUUCUUUCAUAGUUUAAGAAAUAUUUAAAAAUGCAUCUUUAAAUACUCAGCAGCAGGUUGAGACAAUGGUUUAUUAUUUUGAACUAUAUCCUUAAAGAAUAAAACAUACUGAAUAUGACUAGAAAGCAAUCUUAAGAUAACUUCUCAAGUUCAAUAAUUUCUCAACUCGGUGGAAGUAGUGUGGUGGUUGGGGAAAUAUGUUAGUUGUAUCCAUAGAUUGUAAUAAUACCUAGAAUACAUGCAUUCUGAAGAAGAAGUACUUGCCAAUGGAAGACCCUUUCUUUGUCAGCAAAUGGAUGGUAGCAGAUGGCUUUGCCUUCAGCAGGAGAUGCAGAACCCAAAACUCUCUUUUCACUCAAGGAGUCUGUUCCAUUUUUUCCACAGUUCAAUAAGUUAGAGCCAACGUUUUUCAGAUUUAUUAGUUCUAAGAGCCAAGCAGAUGAACUCUCACUAAGUCAGCAGAGCAAAAUUUUCUGUGCCAACCUCCUUUUCAUUUUAAAUAGGCCUAUGCCAAUCUCUGAUAGGCUUUCUUUUUUGGGUGGGCAGUUAUGAUUUUAAGUGACAAGCUCGCACCUUCAUAAUUUCAGUACCAAUUAUGACCACGUUUGUCAACCUACAAGAAAAUACUUAAGAGCUGAAGAGUCAUUGCAAUUAACCAGAUAGCUCUUUGUGGAAACAAACGUGGUGUGGUGUCCACUUUAUCCCAGGUUUGUUUCAGUUUUCCAAAGAAGCUAUCCUUUAUUUUGCUGGAGAACAAAUGGUCUAAAUACACAUUGCAAACAGGGAAAAAGUGGGGAGAAAAGGAUGUUUGCUAUUUUGUGUUUGCUCCCUUUUCAACAAAACCAUAUAAUACCACCAAGUAUGAGGUGCUGCUGUGUUUGAUAUGGUCUGAAAGCCCACCUUAAGAAAUAUUUUAAUGUCUUCGUAGCUCUUCCUUCCAUGCAGGCCUUCCUGCUUGUUCUAAACUAUUCCAGUUUCUGACUGUUAAAUGCUGAUGCAUGUAUCCAUUAUUUACUGUGUUUAAAUUUAUGUUUGAUUAGAAUUUAGUUGUGCAACUGGCGAAGUAGUAUUUUAGUGGCACUUUGCAGAUGUAUAAAAAUGCUUUAUGAUAAAGUACGUUUUACUGAAAAUGUGACCUUCAACUGCUUUACUGUUGUACCCCAUAUACCCAGUGUAACACUAUUUUGUGCUAAUUUUAGUGGGAAUUCUUCAAUAAAUAUUCAAUGUGAUUCAA
Chiloscyllium plagiosum (whitespotted bambooshark) is the source of this 2788-nucleotide long non-coding RNA. RefSeq lists it as uncharacterized. The record is from RefSeq and is a predicted model, not a curated record. NCBI's taxonomy places the organism in Eukaryota, Metazoa, Chordata, Chondrichthyes, Orectolobiformes, Hemiscylliidae.